GACGUAGGAGGCGAGCGUUGUCCGGAUUCAUUGGGCGUAAAGAGCGCGCAGGCGGCUUGGUAAGUCGGAUGUGAAAACCCGAGGCUCAACCUCGGGCGUGCAUCCGAAACUGCUCGGCUAGAGGUAGGUAGGGGAGAUCGGAAUUCCUGGUGUAGCGGUGAAAUGCGCAGAUAUCAGGAGGAACACCGGUGGCGAAGGCGGGUUGCUGGGCCGACACUGACGCUGAAGCGCGAAAGCCAGGGGAGCGAACGGG
This 253-nucleotide ribosomal RNA is filed under the name uncultured bacterium. Its description in RNAcentral is "partial 16S ribosomal RNA". It matches the Rfam family "Bacterial small subunit ribosomal RNA", at positions 524 to 776 of the family's 1533-position model. The record is from RNAcentral.